Molecule: ribosomal RNA, 254 nt
Filed under: uncultured bacterium
Lineage: Bacteria
Description: partial 16S ribosomal RNA
Rfam family: Bacterial small subunit ribosomal RNA
Source: RNAcentral
UACGGGGGGAGCAAGCGUUGUUCGGAUUUACUGGGCGUAAAGGGCGCGUAGGCGGCCUCUGCAAGUCGACUGUGAAAUCUCCGGGCUUAACCCGGAACGGUCAGCCGAUACUGCAGGGCUAGAGUGCAGAAGGGGCAACUGGAAUUCUCAGUGUAGCGGUGAAAUGCGUAGAUAUCGAGAGGAACACCUGCGGCGAAGGCGGGUUGCUGGGCUGACACUGACGCUGAGGCGCGAAAGCUAGGGGAGCGAACGGG